UUUCCGUAGGUGAACCUGCGGAAGGAUCAUUACCGAGUUUGGGACCCUUUGGGUACCAUCUCCCACCAUUUGUGAACCUUUUUCGUUGCCUCGGCGGGUCUGAUGUACCCAUCCUUCGGCUUUUGCUGGGGAGUACCUGCCGAUGGAUUUUCAAACCAGAUUUUAACCUACCAUCUGAGUUCAACAAAAUAAAAACAAAACUUUCAACAACGGAUCUCUUGGUUCUGGCAUCGAUGAAGAACGCAGC
Molecule: unclassified non-coding RNA, 247 nt
Filed under: uncultured fungus
Lineage: Eukaryota; Fungi
Description: sequence contains ITS1, 5.8S rRNA gene
Rfam family: 5.8S ribosomal RNA (bases 199-247)
Source: RNAcentral